AUACGUAUGGUGCAAACGUUGUUCGGAAUCACUGGGCUUAAAGAGCACGUAGGCGGUUAAGAAAGUCUGAUGUGAAAUCCCCCGGCUCAACCGGGGAACUGCAUCAGAAACUUCUUAGCUAGAGUAUAGGAGGGGAGAGUGGAAUUCCUGGUGGAGCGGUGAAAUGCGUAGAUAUCAGGAGGAACGCCGGUGGCGAAAGCGACUCUCUGGCCUAUUACUGACGCUGAGGUGCGAAAGCUAGGGGAGCGAACGGGAUUAGAUACCCCAGUAGUCC
This 274-nucleotide ribosomal RNA is filed under the name uncultured bacterium. Its description in RNAcentral is "partial 16S ribosomal RNA". It matches the Rfam family "Bacterial small subunit ribosomal RNA", at positions 523 to 796 of the family's 1533-position model. The record is from RNAcentral.